GCUAGGAUCUCCCAGAACGUAGUCACUCAAUUAAACAGCGUAUACUGCUAGCAAAAGGAUUCUUUAAGACCAUAUCAGUGACGAUUUAGUCUUGAACUCGGCAUUUCAUUCUUCCUUGGUUCUCUGGAUUCCAUCCGUAAGCUCCAGGUGCCAUUUGAAUCAGUACCUUUCUGUGUUGAAUGUAUCUGUGUCAAGUUCAAUUCUUCCUUAUCAUCUGCUUUGUUCAGGCUGUUUUCGUUGAUUGAUUUCUUAGGCCUCAACGUUUCCAGCUGUACUACUUUUCUGUACAAUUUAUGCUCCUCGGAAGUUAUACAGAAUUUAUGAUUUUUAAAACCUGAGAUAUAUCUGCUUUUUAUUUUCUCAUCAUUUCAACAAUUAUCACCUUUGUAUAUGAUUAAAUCUUCAUAAACAGGGUCUUCUAACAUCAAGCACCCUGAUUAGUUAUUUAGUCAUUUCAAAAGGUUUUUAGUCAAGUAUCCUUCUUUAAUAUGUAUUGGUAACUCCUAAAACAGAGAUUCAACAUGUUAGGAUUUUUGUAGGAUGGGAUAUAUUUGUACUUCUUUUUACUAGAGAAUCAGGUCUAGUGUUUGAAGUCCAGUUCAUUAUAUUUGCAGGCCAGGCGCAGUGGCUCACGCCUAUAAUCCCAGCACUUUGAGAGGCCAAGGUGGGCAGACAGCUUGAGCCCAAGAGUUUGAGACCAGCCCGAGCAACACAGCAAAACCUCAUCUCUACAAAAAACACAAAAAUUGGCCGGGCAUGGUGGGGCAUGCCUGUAGUGCCAGCUAGUUGGGAGAGUGAGGUGGGGAAGAUCGCCAGAGCCUGGGAGGUUGAAGCUACAGUGAACUGUGAUCACACUCCUGCACGCCAGAUUGAGCAACACAGUGAGACCCUGUCUCAAACAAACAAACAAUCCUCACCUGCAAAUUAUUUUCAGUUACAAUCCUUGACAUAAGUAUAUUCUCAUGCCUCUAUGUCAGUGUCAUACAAGGAGAAUCCAUUAGGAUUUUUCCCCUGAUUAAAUUUCAAGGAUGCUAUCCGGUAUACCACAUUACAUAUAAUUGAUAAGAAGACUUUUUCCCCAUCUGGCUUUUGGACUUGUGUGAGUUGUUGUUACUAUCUUAUGACCAUAAGGAAAAGAACCUGGCACCAAAGUCGACAUGCUGAGAACGGCAGGAAAGAAUCUAGGUUUUAAUAUGCUGUAGAUCUCUGGGCCCACCAACAGUGGAAUCAACCUUUCUCUGGACAUCUUGAUAUGUGAACAAUAAACCUCUAAUUUAAAAAUUAUUUGAAUUACUUGCAACCAAGACCAUCCUAGUAUGUUAGUAUAUAAAGAUAACAAUGAUUAACUAAAUGCAUCUUCAGAAAGUACAGUUAAGUGCUAUUGUGAAAAGGGCACUGGAAUCGGAGUCAGGGCAGGUAUGUUUGAGCUUGCACAACUACAACUACCUACAGGCUCUAUGAUAUUGACCAAAUGACUCUCUGCAAUUUUCUCAUUUUUUUCUUCUUCUUCCUCCUCUCUCUCUCCUUUUUUUUGGGGGGAGGGUCUCACUCUAUGGCCCAGGCUGGAGUACAGUUGCACUAUCACAGCUCACUGCAGCCUUACCCUCCCCAGGCUCAAAUGAUCCUCCCACCUCAGCCUCCUGAAUAGCUGGGGCCACAGGCACACGCCACCACGC
RNAcentral lists this long non-coding RNA (1676 nucleotides) under Homo sapiens (human). RNAcentral's name for it is "HSALNT0190652". The record is from RNAcentral. Lineage: Eukaryota; Metazoa; Chordata; Mammalia; Primates; Hominidae.